CCGUACACAAAAGCGCAUGUGCUGUGAGCUCGAUGAGUAGGGCGGGACACGUGGUAUCCUGUCUGAAUAUGGGGGGACCAUCCUCCAAGGCUAAAUACUCCUGACUGACCGAUAGUGAACCAGUACCGUGAGGGAAAGGCGAAAAGAACCCCGGCGAGGGGAGUGAAAAAGAACCUGAAACCGUGUACGUACAAGCAGUGGGAGCACAGGUUUACCUGUGUGACUGCGUACCUUUUGUAUAAUGGGUCAGCGACUUAUAUUCUGUAGCAAGGUUAACCGUAUAGGGGAGCCGGAGGGAAACCGAGUCUUAAUUGGGCGUUAAGUUGCAGGGUAUAGACCCGAAACCCGGUGAUCUAGCCAUGGGCAGGUUGAAGGUUGGGUAACACUAACUGGAGGACCGAACCGACUAAUGUUGAAAAAUUAGCGGAUGACCUGUGGCUGGGGGUGAAAGGCCAAUCAAACCGGGAGAUAGCUGGUUCUCCCCGAAAGCUAUUUAGGUAGCGCCUCGUGAAUUCAUCUCCGGGGGUAGAGCACUGUUUCGGCUAGGGGGCCAUCCCGGCUUACCAACCCGAUGCAAACUGCGAAUACCGGAGAAUGUUAUCACGGGAGACACACGGCGGGUGCUAACGUCCGUCGUGAAGAGGGAAACAACCCAGACCGCCAGCUAAGGUCCCAAAGUCAUGGUUAAGUGGGAAACGAUGUGGGAAGGCCCAGACAGCCAGGAUGUUGGCUUAGAAGCAGCCAUCAUUUAAAGAAAGCGUAAUAGCUCACUGGUCGAGUCGGCCUGCGCGGAAGAUGUAACGGGGCUAAACCAUGCACCGAAGCUGCGGCAGCGAACGUAUCACCCAAGACAACUUUACGGAGUUGACGAUUGACGGAGCGAAGCGACGUCAAAGCGUUCAUUAAAGUCGAGUUGGCUUAGGGAUACGUUCGUUGGGUAGGGGAGCGUUCUGUAAGCCUGUGAAGGUGUGUCGUGAGGCAUGCUGGAGGUAUCAGAAGUGCGAAUGCUGACAUAAGUAACGAUAAAGCGGGUGAAAAGCCCGCUCGCCGGAAGACCAAGGGUUCCUGUCCAACGUUAAUCGGGGCAGGGUGAGUCGACCCCUAAGGCGAGGCCGAAAGGCGUAGUCGAUGGGAAACGGGUUAAUAUUCCCGUACUUGGUGUUACUGCGAAGGGGGGACGGAGAAGGCUAUGUUGGCCGGGCGACGGUUGUCCCGGUUUAAGCGUGUAGGUGUGUGUUCCAGGUAAAUCCGGUUCACUUUAACACUGAGGCGUGACGACGAGGCACUAC
RNAcentral lists this ribosomal RNA (1289 nucleotides) under Salmonella enterica subsp. enterica serovar Typhimurium. Its description in RNAcentral is "partial 23S ribosomal RNA". It matches the Rfam family "Bacterial large subunit ribosomal RNA", at positions 373 to 1580 of the family's 2925-position model. Lineage: Bacteria; Pseudomonadati; Pseudomonadota; Gammaproteobacteria; Enterobacterales; Enterobacteriaceae. The record is from RNAcentral.